AGUGAACGCUGGCGGUAGGCCUAACACAUGCAAGUCGAACGGCAGCACAGUAAGAGCUUGCUCUUACGGGUGGCGAGUGGCGGACGGGUGAGGAAUACAUCGGAAUCUACUUUUUCGUGGGGGAUAACGUAGGGAAACUUACGCUAAUACCGCAUACGCCCUACGGGUGAAAGCAGGGGAUCUUCGGACCUUGCGCGAUUGAAUGAGCCGAUGUCGGAUUAGCUAGUUGGCGGGGUAAAGGCCCACCAAGGCGACGAUCAGUAGCUGGUCUGAGAGGAUGAUCAGCCACACUGGAACUGAGACACGGUCCAGACUCCUACGGGAGGCAGCAGUGGGGAAUAUUGGACAAUGGGCGCAAGCCUGAUCCAGCCAUACCGCGUGGGUGAAGAAGGCCUUCGGGUUGUAAAGCCCUUUUGUUGGGAAAGAAAAGCAGCAGGUUAAUACCCCGCUGUUCUGACGGUACCCAAAGAAUAAGCACCGGCUAACUUCGUG
RNAcentral lists this ribosomal RNA (492 nucleotides) under uncultured bacterium. RNAcentral describes it as "partial 16S ribosomal RNA". It matches the Rfam family "Bacterial small subunit ribosomal RNA", at positions 29 to 507 of the family's 1533-position model. The record is from RNAcentral.